GAUGAACGCUGGCGGCGUGCCUAAUACAUGCAAGUCGAGCGAACAGACGAGGAGCUUGCUCCUCUGACGUUAGCGGCGGACGGGUGAGUAACACGUGGAUAACCUACCUAUAAGACUGGGAUAACUUCGGGAAACCGGAGCUAAUACCGGAUAAUAUAUUGAACCGCAUGGUUCAAUAGUGAAAGACGGUUUUGCUGUCACUUAUAGAUGGAUCCGCGCCGCAUUAGCUAGUUGGUAAGGUAACGGCUUACCAAGGCAACGAUGCGUAGCCGACCUGAGAGGGUGAUCCGCCACCAUGGAACUGGGACACGGGCCAGACUCCUACGGGAAGCAGCCGUAGGGAAUCUUCCGCAAUGGGCGAAAGCUUGACGGAGCAACGCCGCGUGAGUGAUGAAGGUCUUCGGAUCGUAAAACUCUGUUAUUAGGGAAGAACAAAUGUGUAAGUAACUAUGCACGUCUUGACGGUACCUAAUCAGAAAGCCACGGCUAACUACGUG
Molecule: ribosomal RNA, 497 nt
Filed under: uncultured bacterium
Lineage: Bacteria
Description: partial 16S ribosomal RNA
Rfam family: Bacterial small subunit ribosomal RNA
Source: RNAcentral